AAACGACUCUCGGCAACGGAUAUCUAGGCUCUUGCAUCGAUGAAGAACGUAGCGAAAUGCGAUACUUGGUGUGAAUUGCAGAAUCCCGUGAACCAUCGAGUUUUUGAACGCAAGUUGCGCCCAAAGCCAUUAGGUUGAGGGCACGUCUGCCUGGGCGUCACAU
Molecule: ribosomal RNA, 163 nt
Filed under: Onobrychis viciifolia (common sainfoin)
Lineage: Eukaryota; Viridiplantae; Streptophyta; Magnoliopsida; Fabales; Fabaceae
Also listed under: 1 other name
Description: 5.8S ribosomal RNA
Rfam family: 5.8S ribosomal RNA
About the family: 5.8S ribosomal RNA (5.8S rRNA) is a component of the large subunit of the eukaryotic ribosome.
Source: RNAcentral